This 468-nucleotide ribosomal RNA is filed under the name uncultured bacterium. Its description in RNAcentral is "partial 16S ribosomal RNA". It matches the Rfam family "Bacterial small subunit ribosomal RNA", at positions 28 to 507 of the family's 1533-position model. The record is from RNAcentral.
GACGAACGCUGGCGGCGUGCUUAACACAUGCAAGUCGAACGGAAAGGCCCUGCUUUUGUGGGGUGCUCGAGUGGCGAACGGGUGAGUAACACGUGAGUAACCUGCCCUUGACUUUGGGAUAACUUCAGGAAACUGGGGCUAAUACCGGAUAGCAGCUCCCGCUGCAUGGAGGGGGUUGGAAAGUUUCGGCGGGUGGGGAUGGACUCGCGGCUUAUCAGCUUGUUGGUGGGCGAGUGGCUUACCAAGGCUUUGACGGGUCGCCGGCCUGGGAGGGUGACCGGCCACCAUGGGCCUGCGGUACGGCCCAGACGCCAACGGUGGGCAACAGGGGGGAAUAUUGCACAAUGGGCGGAAGCCUGAUGCAGCGACGCCGCGUUCGGGAUGACGGCCUUCGGGUUGUAAACCGCUUUCGCCUGUGACGAAGCGUGAGUGACGGUAAUGGGUAAAGAAGCACCGGCUAACUACGUG